CUCAAAUUUGAAAUCUGGCCUUCGGGUCCGAGUUGUAAUUUGUAGAGGAUGCUUAGGGUGUGGCUCCGGUCUAAGUUCCUUGGAACAGGACGUCAUAGAGGGUGAGAAUCCCGUAUGUGACUGGCAGCCUUCGCCCGUGUUAAGCUCCUUCGACGAGUCGAGUUGUUUGGGAAUGCAGCUCUAAAUGGGUGGUAAAUUUCAUCUAAAGCUAAAUAUUGGCCAGAGACCGAUAGCGCACAAGUAGAGUGAUCGAAAGAUGAAAAGCACUUUGGAAAGAGAGUUAAACAGUACGUGAAAUUGUUGAAAGGGAA
Molecule: ribosomal RNA, 311 nt
Filed under: Cyclaneusma minus
Lineage: Eukaryota; Fungi; Ascomycota; Leotiomycetes; Marthamycetales; Marthamycetaceae
Description: LSU rRNA
Rfam family: Eukaryotic large subunit ribosomal RNA
Source: RNAcentral